UUUACGGCUGGCGGCAGGCUUAACACAUGCAAGUCGAGCGGAGAGAGGUAGCUUGCUACUGAUCUUAGCGGCGGACGGGUGAGUAAUGCUUAGGAAUCUGCCUAUUAGUGGGGGACAACAUUUCGAAAGGAAUGCUAAUACCGCAUACGUCCUACGGGAGAAAGCAGGGGAUCUUCGGACCUUGCGCUAAUAGAUGAGCCUAAGUCGGAUUAGCUAGUUGGUGGGGUAAAGGCCUACCAAGGCGACGAUCUGUAGCGGGUCUGAGAGGAUGAUCCGCCACACUGGGACUGAGACACGGCCCAGACUCCUACGGGAGGCAGCAGUGGGGAAUAUUGGACAAUGGGCGCAAGCCUGAUCCAGCCAUGCCGCGUGUGUGAAGAAGGCCUUAUGGUUGUAAAGCACUUUAAGCGAGGAGGAGGCUACUUUAGUUAAUACCUAGAGAUAGUGGACGUUACUCGCAGAAUAAGCACCGGCUAACUCUGUGCCAGCAGCCGCGGUAAUACAGAGGGUGCAAGCGUUAAUCGGAUUUACUGGGCGUAAAGCGCGCGUAGGCGGCUAAUUAAGUCAAAUGUGAAAUCCCCGAGCUUAACUUGGGAAUUGCAUUCGAUACUGGUUAGCUAGAGUGUGGGAGAGGAUGGUAGAAUUCCAGUGUAGGGCAAAAGGCAAGAAUCUAAAGCAAUACCGACGGCGAAGCAGCCACUGGACGAACACUGACGCUCAGUGCGAAAGCAUGGGGAGCAAACAGGAUUAGAUACCCUGGUAGUCCACGCCGUAAACGAUGUCGACUAGCAGGUUGGGCCCUUGAGCGUGGUGCCGCAGCUAACGCGAUAAAUAGACCGCCUGGGGAGUACGGCCGCAAGACUAAAACUCAAAUGAAUUGACGGGGGCCCGCACAAGCGGUGGAGCAUGUGAUUUAAUCGAUGCAACGCGAGACCGUACUACCUGGACAUAGAGACCUUCAGAGAUGAAUGGUGCUUCGGAACACAGAGACAGGUGCUGCAUGGCUGUCGUCAGCUCGUGUUGUGAAAUGUUGGGUUAAGUCCCGCAACGAGCGCAACCCUUAUCCUUUGUUGCCAGCGGUUCGGCCGGGAACUCAAAGGAGACUGCCAGUGAUAAACUGGAGGAAGGUGGGGAUGACGUCAAGUCAUCAUGGCCCUUACGAGUAGGGCUACACACGUGCUACAAUGGCGUAUACAAAGAGAAGCGACCUCGCGAGAGCAAGCGGACCUCAUAAAGUACGUCGUAGUCCGGAUUGGAGUCUGCAACUCGACUCCAUGAAGUCGGAAUCGCUAGUAAUCGUAGAUCAGAAUGCUACGGUGAAUACGUUCCGGGGCCUUGUACACACCGCCCGUCACACCAUGGGGAGUGGGUUGCAAAAGAAGUAGUAGCUUAACCCUUCGGGAGGCGCUUACCACUUUGUGAUUCAUGACUGGGGGUGAAGUCGUAACAGGUAGCCAGUAG
RNAcentral lists this ribosomal RNA (1461 nucleotides) under Acinetobacter baumannii. Its description in RNAcentral is "bacterial SSU rRNA". It matches the Rfam family "Bacterial small subunit ribosomal RNA". The record is from RNAcentral. Lineage: Bacteria; Pseudomonadati; Pseudomonadota; Gammaproteobacteria; Moraxellales; Moraxellaceae.